UACGUAGGGGGCAAGCGUUGUCCGGAUUUACUGGGCGUAAAGCGCCUGUAGGCGGCUUGUCAAGUCCGGCCUGAAAGCCCCCGGCUCAACCGGGGAGGGUGGCUGGAAACUGGCAGGCUUGAGGGCGAGAGAGGAGGGUGGAAUUCCUGGUGUAGCGGUGAAAUGCGUAGAGAUCAGGAGGAACACCCGUGGCGAAGGCGGCCCUCUGGCUCGACCCUGACGCUGAGAGGCGAAAGCGUGGGGAGCGAACGGGAUUAGAUACCCCGGUAGUCCACGCUGUAAACGCUGGUCACUAGGUGUGUGCGGUAUCGACCCCGCACGUGCCGGCGCUAACGCACUAAGUGACCCGCCUGGGGAGUACGGCCGCAAGGUUGAA
This 376-nucleotide ribosomal RNA is filed under the name uncultured bacterium. RNAcentral's name for it is "bacterial SSU rRNA". It matches the Rfam family "Bacterial small subunit ribosomal RNA", at positions 524 to 898 of the family's 1533-position model. The record is from RNAcentral.